CCAAUGUGGAUACCCCUGGGAGGUUACUCUUCCAGGCUCGUCCAGGAGGCACAGGGGAGCAUAAGGCUCUGUCCCAUGAUGCACAAUCCCUUUCCAUAGCACUGGAGACAAGCCAGUCCCUUGAGUCUGUGCCUGAGCACUCCUAUGGCUUCUCAGAGUCCUAUAAAUAAUGACUGAGGAGACAAUCCAUUCAAGAAACAUCU
Molecule: small nucleolar RNA, 203 nt
Organism: Molossus molossus (Pallas's mastiff bat)
Lineage: Eukaryota; Metazoa; Chordata; Mammalia; Chiroptera; Molossidae
Product: small nucleolar RNA SNORA73 family
Exons: 1
Source: RefSeq, a predicted model, not a curated record